UACAGGUGUUGCAUGGCUGUCGUCAGCUUGUGUCGUGAGAUGUUCGGUUAAGUCCGCUAACGAGCGCAACCCUCGUCGUAUGUUAUAUGUGUCAUACGAGACUGCCGGUAAAAAGCCGGAGGAAGGUGAGGAUGAUGUCAAGUCAGCAUGACCUUUAUAUCCAGGGCUACACACACGCUACAAUGGUCUGUACAAUGGGUAGCCAAGCCGCGAGGCGGAGCCAAUCCUGAAAGCAGGCCUCAGUUCAGAUUGCAGUCUGCAACUCGACUGCAUGAAGCCGGAGUUGCUAGUAACCGCAGGUCAGCAAUACUGCGGUGAAUACGUUCCCGGGUCUU
Molecule: ribosomal RNA, 335 nt
Filed under: uncultured Anaerolineaceae bacterium
Lineage: Bacteria; Bacillati; Chloroflexota; Anaerolineae; Anaerolineales; Anaerolineaceae
Description: bacterial SSU rRNA
Rfam family: Bacterial small subunit ribosomal RNA
Source: RNAcentral